UCCAAGUUCCACCAGCCAUGGGAACAGCUGGGGCGCUGCCCGGAACGGCGCUGUCACAACGGGACAGUCCUGCAGGGCACAGUCAGCUCUCCUGAUCAGCUUUGCCAUUGAAUUGUGGUUCUAAGAAAAUGGGCUGAAACCCCUGGGUUUUCCCCCAGGUGCUGUGCAUGGAGCUUCUUAGAGCAGAGACCACAACUCCCACUGCAGUGUAAUGGAAAUCUGGGGGCAUCUCCUUCACAGGUGGUGGUGGAAGCCACCCACAGUGAGAUGCAGCUCUCCCGGGUAGCAUCUCUUAAAGCUCUCUGUUUUAAAACAAGAACAAAUUGCUCUUGCCAGGAAGAAGAUUGGAAAGGCUUGGAGUUGAGGGGAAUUUGUUUUGGAAACUUACUUCAAGGCAAAAUGCUUUCACAAAUAAGAAUGUAUCAGGCUGCCGUCAUGCCCUGACCAGUCGGACAAGUGCAAUUGUUUUGUCCCUUGGACAAUUAGUGUAAUUGCUGCAGCUGUGAUUCAGCUGGGCUCCUGUGCCAGGUUGCUUCUGGCACCGGGAGCCAUCCCGAGGGCCGUACAAGGGUCCCUCUCCCUGAGGCUCCCUGGGCACGGCAUGCAGUGGCCUGGGCUCUGCUAGGGGCAGCAGGAUGGGCGCUUCUGGUGGAGCACCCACCAUGUCCUGCUGCAUGAUGGCACCGACUGAGGGGUCUUGGAGAGGGGAUGGGUCCUUAUUUUCAGUCCUUUACCUGUGAUUGAAUUCAGUAAUGACAAAAAUCCACUAAGACAAGCCCCGUAAGAUGUUGGUGGAGUUUCUCCCUCUGUUUGCUUUCCACCACCCCCACGUCUGAAGUUUCGCUGUCAGCUCGCUGACGUGGGAGCCUUGCGCGGGCUGGUGCUGAGCAGGCCAAGGACAAUCACCUCCUAGUGCUUUGCAGCUAGGUUUGCUUUGACCCUCUGAGGUAUGUUAUGACUUGUUUAGUCUAUACUAAGAUUUUAAGGUAUGUUAUGUGUUACUUAACACGAGGCAAGGUCACCGCAUAGCAGAGCGGAGGAGUCACGAUAGCGUGGAUAAGCGUUACCUAUGUGAGCUUCAGGGUUUUACAAGGACUGCAUUGGAGGUGGUUUUGUCGGAGAGGAUGUUGAAAGUGCACUUGUCUUCUCAAUGCCUGUUGCCAGUGCUUCUCUUUUGCCUGCAAUCACGACACCAGUCCCCGGUGUAGCAGGCAGCUCCUCUCCUUUUCACCUCCAGAGGUUUAUACCAGGAAGCUGACAGCCUAUGUCCUCAGCUCUCAAGUCAGGGUGCUGAAGGGCAGCAUGGUCACAGCAAACAGGAGCACCAAGAGCAGUAAAGCUGCAUCAGCGCAGGCUUUAACACGUGAUAGCAGCUAGAUUAAAGGCCAUUCAGGAGCCCCGGGGACAUACACCGGUUGUUAGCAUAGGCAUAACCCAUAUUUGUGCGCCCGUAUCUGUGUACUUGGGAGAUUACAGCCUCCACAGGCAUGUGACUACAGCGUGGAGAGGCUCUCCUGAUUUAUCGUGAGAACACUUCACGUUUCAGAGGACGGAGAAGGCCUUCGGUUCCCCCUGUAAAUCCCAGUCUUUGUUCCACCUUUCGGCAUGCGCUGCACUCGGAGCGUAGCCAAAGCCAUAAAUCCACCAGCAGGAGGUUCAGGUGGACUUCCCUGGAAAGCCUUCAUCUGAGGAUCUCGCUGUAUUUAGGUGUUGUCCAUUAACCAGGCUCACAGCAGAGCAGUGAUCUUAGCAGCCUUCUCCAGCAUUACUUGGUACAGUAGCAGAGUAGGGAACUAAAAAGCCGAGUCUGCAAAAUGCCCCUUUCCACUGUUGAACUGUAUAAUAACGCUCAAACUGUACUCUGACCUCUGAAGCUAUAAACCUUCCCUGCCUCUUGAAUUUCUCCGGUAGCACCGAGUCAGGCUUCAGUUCAUUUUGUCCAUCGUGUAAGGCCUGGUGGAUGAGUCCGCUCCAGCGAGGUCAGGCACGAGGGAUGCCUCUGAGCCUUCACCAGUCUGUGGUUGUCUCCUUUCCCCUGCCACCCUGCAAGACAACAUUAAUUUCUACUUUGAGGCCUAUCGUGCUGAAGAUAGCAUAACCCAGACCACAUCUAUGUAAAUCUACCGGAUUAUAUUGCCUGCUUGAGGUCAGGAAUCCUCUGAAACAAUGUUCCAGUUGGAUGGGUAAAAGUCAGGAGUACAAAUAGAUUAUGCAUCUCAUAUUUCCUCUAGUGAAGGAAAGGGAGCCCAAGUGCCAGUCAAACACACUACUGCAACAGUACACCUCGGGGAAAACUGCUCCUCUUCCCCUGACAGCUCUUCUGUGAAGAGCAAUUUCUGCAAUUUAUUGAGUGCCUGGGUCUUCCAGGAGCUGUGCAAGCGCAAACAGUAAGCAACCUUUCUUGCAAAGCAGCUCUUCCAGUGCAAGAUUGGGCAUGUAGCCAAAAAGGAAACAUUUGUGAAGAUACCCUGCUCAUGCUGCUAUUUGCUGUUUUAUGCAGAUUUGGCAUGAAAACAACAUGUGAUUUGAUGAGUCAGGUUGCAUACAAUAUAUGCAGGUAUCUGAUGCAAUAUUUAUUUAGUGGUAGGUCACAGGGAAGGAGAGUUGAUAACUGCAGAUAAUAUACAGGGACUUUACAUUAUGCUUAGACCAACUGCGUGUACAGGUGGUUUAGUUUAAUAUAAAACCCAAGCAGCAUUGCCAGACCUAUUGCGAUGUGAUACUAAAAAGGAGUUGUAAUGAGGACUGUUUUCAGUAACCUGUUUCUACCAAGUGGAUGGUGAACGCCUCGUUUGAUAGAGUGAUUAAUGAUACUCAGCGCGACUGCUCAGCCGGCAGGGGCGGAGGCUUUGCUAAUUGGAUCUGGAAAUUCCUUUCCUCAUGCCUAAGGAUGAUGCAAACUUUCACAACCAACUGGAGACCUGUCCUCCCUGCAGCUGGAUGCCAAUAAACACAGCUCAAGUUAAUAACCCUUGUGUCAGGGGAAGAGAUCCGAAAGAGAAUCUGGGCCUCGUUAUUGUUCGUAUGUGGCAUUAUUAGAGGCAUCGUAAUAUGCCAUAGGAGUCCCUUUUUGUUAAGGGGUGGGAGUUGUUAGUUUAAUCACUUGUCUGAGUAAAUGUGUUAAAGACCCCAAGUGCUAUUUGUGACCAGUGGCAUGCUGAACAUGAAGCUGUGGUUGUUGAACACGAAGCCACAACCACGUCUACAUCCCUUUCGCCUUCUGUCUCUUCUUGCAAAAUCUGACCAGAUGCGUUCAAAGUAUUUGCAUUCUGGAAGGCACAGCUGAACCUUCCUCAGCACCCGAAGCUACUGGUGACCAACCUUGUGUGCUGGGUUCUUCACUGUCAGUAGAUGCAUCUUUGUGUGUUCCUACCUUGUUUUAUGCUUCAGCAGGUUUCUGGCUCAGUUUCUGGCUUUAGGUUUCCAGUCCGAUGUUAGGACACUUAUUGGUGUUUGCUGAUGUCAUAUAACUCUUUUUUUAAGCUGCUUGAAGUCCUCAGGAACUGAAAGAGCAUUAUCAGCUUCCUUCACACUGACAAACGGGACAGUUACAGGCCUUCCUUCUUACUGCACUUCAGAAGUGUUUGUUUUGUUUAUGCAAAUUGAAGUAUGCAUAGCUAAUGGCAUGUUAAUAAACCUUUCCCUUUGCCGCUGCUUCUAAAAUCAAAUGUGGACCAAGGUGGGUGGCUUCAUACCGAAACUGAUCUAACUUCCUCUGUUAAUCUGUUGGCUGAUGCUGUGCAGCUUGUCCUAGGUGCUAGCUCCUUGCCCACUUUCCCCUCCUUAAGAACUUUGCCCACUGUCUUAGCAACAGAGGAGCCUGGAAAAUGAUGAGGUGGGCACGGCUGUGCCCAAAGGUCAGCUCUGCCCAGGAAUGUGGCACGAGAUUAAAAAGAUGUGCAGAGAGGCAUUGAAAAUACGAGCCUUAAAGGUGUUCACAGUGUAGAGGCAGGGUGCAAAAAGGACUGAGGGAGAGGUGAGAGAAGUAAGCGUUGCAUGGGGAAGGAGAGGGUUGAGAGGCGAAAGGCAGGCACAGCUGGGUGGGAAACCCAGGAGCUCUCAAGUUUGAUAUGAGAGGAAAAAAAGCUUGAAGCAGAGACAAACAGCCUGGUAUGGAAAUGCCCAUCCAAGCAAGGUUGUCGUUGGGUGAUGCUUUUUUUUCAGUCUGUUAUAAUGAAAAUAAUCUUCUGGGAAAAACCCCGUGGGUUCAGAGCUCACAGCCCUGAGCUUGGCGAGGAGCAGCACGUCUCCACGGAGCGCCCUGGUGCUGCCAGCCCUCCUCGGCACAGCGCUGGUGCCCCGCCAGAUUGGCCUCUUUGCAAUGCUGAGGAAGAAAAUAAUAACUCAUGAAGUAAAAAUAAUACAAGAUACAGAACAAUAAAAAGGGAUUUUCCUCUCUCUGCAAUAGAGAAAUAAAUGGCUGACCACCAGAAGGGGUUCUUCUCUCCUGUUUUCAGUCUUGAGGCUUUUCUCUGAACGACCCAGCGGGGAAAAAAAAAUUGCUGUGUUGUAUCUGCCCAUACAAAGAGGAUGGAAAACAACAACUGGUCGGAGCAACUGGCGCUUGGAGCCAGGAUCCUGCAUCAGUGCUUAAACAAAAUGUGAGAAGAGAAUGCUGUGAAUGUCUUGUUGCUGGACCUAGUGUGAUGAAUAAUUAUGGAGCAGCUGAGCAGUGCUAGCCAGAGGCUCAAAGAAUCUGAGGAGCAAGCAAAAAGAACUCCCCAGGCUGGCUUCGGUGAAAUGGAGGAGCUGAUAGACAAUAACAGGCGUCCUUAGCUCAGGCGGGGAGGUGUCACUUUUGGAUCGCCAUCCGUGGCAGUGUGCACACCAGCAGGACGUGUGCGCGUAUGGAUUUUUGUAUGCAGACGUCCAGAGUUAUUCUGCUGUCUGUGUUGUGAAAGCGCUGAACUGAGACAUCAGUCUGCUGGCACGGCGGGGAAGGCUGACAGGUUUCUCUGUGUGGGGAUCUCCUUUGCCUGUUCAGUGCUUGAAUUAUGUGAAACCUUAAUUAGCAAAUAAGAUGCUUUGGCCUUCCCUGCCGAACCUGAAAUGGCAUUAAGGGAGGUGCAAGGAGGUGCCAGAUGACAUGGCAGUCCUGGCUCCAUGGUUUUUGUUCUGCUCUGCUGUCCUGCUGUUUUGAGAUGCGCUUUCCAUUGUGUCAGCUGCUGGCAAAAUGUUCCUAAAGUUGUUACACGUUUUAUGUUUUGGUAUUGCUUUUUCUGUAUGCAACAGUCAAGCUGCUAAGACCAUGUUGGAGACCCCGUGUGCAGCAGCUGUUGAGCUGAGAAGAAAGAAGCUCGCUCUUUGAAAAGGAAAGCUGCCCUGGUGGGCUGCAGUGGUAAGCCACUGCCUGCUGUGCUCUGCUGGUGCUGUCACUCUCUGGGGCAAAGCAAGCAUCCUCUUCCUAUAAUGCUCCUUGGACUUUUCUGAAAUGGGGUAAACAUUACUCACUCCUUGCAAAGCCACUCCUUUGAUUUGCUCUUCUGUUAUUAAUUACGUGUGCUUCCUUUUGUCACACCACUUUUUUUUUUCUUUGCUGCUGAAGAUGGGGCUGUAGAGAAAUCCGUUACCUCCAUUUCAAUGGCAGACGGGUUAUCUGUCUACAAGAGAGUACAGAAUUGCUUUUAUCAAACAUAUUUCUUUUCCCAUUGUUUCUUGAUGACAGAUACUACUCUUAAUCUACACAGCGACAACACUUUGAGAUGGGAGAUCUGUGUUGCCAUCAAUUUUUGUUACGGUGAUAAAUCACAGCAUAUCUCACUUUCUGAAUGACAUGCUUCUGGAUUUAGGUCUGCAUUUUUUUUUCUUUGUCACGGUUUUUCUUUUUCAAUGCCAGCAACAGCCUUGCCAAAGCUCAUCUGUUCCUUUAGCAUUCACUCCAGCAGGCUGAUUAAUUCUAUCACACGUCUCCCCAUACACAGCAUAAUCAAACAGGUUGAUGGAAAAUCAGGAAGGAUGUGAUAUUUACAAAAUUUCCUAAUGCAUCAUGCUUAUCUUCGACUUUUGUUAGUUGCGGCACCUUGUUUCCUCUGGGUUGGAGGGAUGUCAGCAGAGUCUGACAGGAAAAAGAAUUUCGUCCCCCUGUUUGCGGGCCUCAAGUGUGAUGGUGUCACCCUGCCACACACGGGGAAGUUUGCUUACGAGAGCUUUGAGUGGAGGAUGCCUUAUGUUUUCUUCUGUGCCUCAAGGGCAGCUUCAGUAAAAAAAAAAAAAAAGGGGGGGGGGGGAUCUUUCACCCACAAAUCUUAAAGUAGUAAAGAAUGCAGGUCAGGUGCCUCAUUUCUUUGGCUAUGUAGAUAGCGCUGUUAAUAGCAUGAGUCAAAAAUAUAUAUCAAUGGGAAUACGAGCAGCAAUUUCAAAUGGCUUUAAACCUGUUCUGAGCUCCCUAAACAAAAGCAUCCGGGGGGAACUGGCUGAGCAAAAAUAUUAACUAAUCCUCCUCUUAAGAGGUGGCAAAAUUAAGCAGAGGCAGUCCACAGCCUGGAUAAGGCUCCUGCCUCACUUGUCUUUGCCUGGCGAGGAUGGAGAACUGCUGCCCACACUGCUAUCUCCUGCUUCCCCACCGUGUUUAUAUGGUAAUCUAUAUGGUUUAUGUGGUACUGACUCAGCAAGAAAGAAGGUACUGGGUGUCAGGGUGAGCUUCAGCCAAGCUGCGAGGGCACUGGGGAGUGGGGAGCUAUAGGGCGGGAGUGAAAAGGGAAGGGCCCGCGUACCGAAAAUAAAGGGGAAAAAUCCAAAUCAUCUCACUCUGAGAGACCCCAGGCAAUGCCACACUGUGAGCCCAGUGAGCGCUGUAUUCAUUAGCAGGUCCCAUCAGGAAGGGGGGGGAUUACUGGGUUUGCAGAAAUCCCAUUUGAGAAUUUGCGGUUAAAAUAUAAAUGCAAAACUUAUUAAAAACAUGGUGGGGCUCCCUGAGAAAGAAGAUAAUGUUAAGACCUCAUUUUCCUAUCUGUUGCUGCUAGUUACAGUGAUGUUAUUAAAACUGAAUUCUAUAGGUAUUAAAUCUAUUUUCUUCUGUGUGUGUGUGCAUUUUGUUUUAUUCAGCUUUGGCCAUAAAAGCCAUGGCACUGUUCUGCUACAAAAUUCAUGCUGGCUGUGGUGCUGGUGUGCUGCCUUGUAUGGUAAGUGUGACAUAGGAGGGCCCUGGUAGGAAUCUGUUCCUUUUUAUGUCUGUUUCUAGUUCAUACGAAUCUGUAGUGAAUGUCACCCUCUGACUACUAUUCAAAACCACUUACUUCCAGAAAAAUGUGGGAUGUGAUAAAAGUUGUAGUUUGCAUGUAGAGUUCUGCGUUUCUUUGAGGAAGCCUCUUGUGUUUUCCCCUCUCCCUGUGAUGACAUCAGAAUUAGAUUGGCAGAGAUGAUUUGAGGUAUUUCUGUCACUCAUCAGUUAAUUAUAAUUAAAAAGAUAUUAAACUGUUCAGCUAUCAACACCGCAGGCCUAUGGUAAAUGAAUACUCUCGUUGCACCUUGAUAUCUCUCCCACCUUCUGCUCUUUCCAAAUAUUUGAGAUGUGCUCUGCUGCACUGCGUUCCCACUGUCUGUGAAGCACAAGGGGCAGAAGUUGUCUCAUGUUUGUACAGUGCCUAGUACAGUGUCUCAAACCUUCACUCGUGGCAAUAAAUGCAAAUUACAGAUGAUAAUCUGGCCGAGCAGUUCUUUACCAAGUUGCCUUCUGACUGAGGGAUGAAGAUAGUUGCUAGCUGUGUCUGUGUUGGAGAUCUGGGAUCUCCAUUUCAAAAGCACGUAAAUGUCUGGAAAGAAUAAAGCUGUUUGAUCUAGGCCUUUGACAUGAGUUUUCCUCUCAUUCCAUCAAUUUCUCAUCCCCUCAUGCUAUUUAGUACUUUUUGUCUGCUGGGCCAUCACUUUCUAUAAAACACUUCUGGCAGUUCUAGC
This is a long non-coding RNA of Cygnus olor (mute swan), 7893 nucleotides long. RefSeq lists it as uncharacterized. NCBI's taxonomy places the organism in Eukaryota, Metazoa, Chordata, Aves, Anseriformes, Anatidae. The transcript is spliced from 4 exons. The record is from RefSeq and is a predicted model, not a curated record.